This 449-nucleotide ribosomal RNA is filed under the name uncultured prokaryote. RNAcentral's name for it is "bacterial SSU rRNA". It matches the Rfam family "Bacterial small subunit ribosomal RNA", at positions 355 to 796 of the family's 1533-position model. The record is from RNAcentral.
UGGGGAAUUUUGCGCAAUGGGCGAAAGCCUGACGCAGCGACGCCGCGUGUAUGAUGAAGGCCCUUGGGUCGUAAAGUACUGUCAACGGGGAAGAACGGUGCGGUCCGAAUAGGGCCGUGCCUUGACGGUACCCGUGGAGGAAGCACCGGCUAACUCUGUGCCAGCAGCCGCGGUAAUACAGAGGGUGCAAACGUUGCUCGGAAUGACUGGGCGUAAAGCGCGCGCAGGUGGCCUGGCAAGUCGACUGUGAAAGCCCAUGGCUCAACCAUGGAAGUGCAGUCGAUACUGUCGGGCUCGAGUCCCGGAGAGGGUGGUAGAAUUCCCAGUGUAGAGGUGAAAUUCGUAGAUAUUGGGAGGAAUACCGGUGGCGAAGGCGACCACCUGGACGGGUACUGACACUGAGGCGCGAAAGCGUGGGUAGCAAACAGGAUUAGAUACCCCCGUAGUCC